This 468-nucleotide ribosomal RNA is filed under the name uncultured bacterium. RNAcentral's name for it is "partial 16S ribosomal RNA". It matches the Rfam family "Bacterial small subunit ribosomal RNA", at positions 28 to 507 of the family's 1533-position model. The record is from RNAcentral.
GACGAACGCUGGCGGCGUGCUUAACACAUGCAAGUCGAACGGAAAGGCCCUGCUGUUGUGGGGUGCUCGAGUGGCGAACGGGUGAGUAACACGUGAGUAACCUGCCCUUGACUGUGGGAUAACUUCAGGAAACUGGGGCUAAUACCGGAUAGGAGCUCCUGCUGCCUGGUGGGGGUUGGAAAGUUUCGGCGGUUGGGGAUGGACUCGCGGCUUAUCAGCUUGUUGGUGGGGUAGUGACUUACCAAGGCUUUGGCGGGUAGCCGGCCUGAGAGGGUGACCGGCCACAUUGGGACUGAGAUACGGCCCAGACUCCUACGGGAGGCAUCAGUGGGGAAUAUUGCACAAUGGGCGGAAGCCUGAUGCAGCCACGCCGCGUGCGGGAUGACGGCCUUCGGGUUGUAAACCGCUUUCGCCUGUGACGAAGCGUGAGUGACGGUAAUGGGUAAAGAAGCACCGGCUAACUACGUG